GACCUCUCCCUCUCCCUCUCCCUGGUUCCCAUCGCCACGCCGGUGCUCAACAAGGACGACUACCUCACCGCGCUCGCCGCCACCGGCAAGGAGCAGUAGGCGAGCGCGUGGAACCCGUCCCCCGCGCCGUCUCAGGAGCUGCAGUUCAGCUGGACGGUCUGCGGGAAGGCGUUUGCGUCGUACCAGGCGCUCGGCGGGCACAAGUCCAACCACCGCCCACCGGCGUCCGCGGGCGCUGGGUCAGAGGCGAGCGCGGCGGCGUCCUCGGGCAGGAGCAGCGGCGGCCCGCAUCAGUGCACCGUCUGCGGGCGGGACUUCACGACCCGACAGGCGCUCGGAGGGCACAAGCACUGCCACUACUGGGACGGCACCUCCGUGUCCAUGUCCAUGUCCGUCUCCGUGUCGGCGUCCUCCACCGUGCUGAGGAACUUCGACCUAAACCUGCUGCCGAUGCCGGAGAACGCAGGGGUGAAGAUGAAGAGGCGGCCCGAGGAGGAGGAGGUGCAGAGCCCUCUCCCCACCAAGAAGCUGGGGAUUUUGCUGUAA
Molecule: ribosomal RNA, 546 nt
Filed under: Triticum aestivum (bread wheat)
Lineage: Eukaryota; Viridiplantae; Streptophyta; Magnoliopsida; Poales; Poaceae
Description: partial small subunit ribosomal RNA
Source: RNAcentral